UGUUUGUUUCUAUCUGUAUAUUUAUGUACAUAUUCAUUUAUCUGUCAUGUAUAUAAAUAUAUUAUCUAUUUCUAUAUAUCCAUCAUCUAUGUAUCUAAGUAUUUAUCCUUGUAUCUAUAUUUCUGUUAUCUAUCUGUAUAUCUAUGUAUCUAUUACUUGUGUAUGCAUCUACAUAUCUUGUCACUUAAGUGUCUAUCUUUGUGUCUGUCUAGCUUGCCUUGAUGUUAGAAGCAUUAGGAUUUAGUAAGAAAUUUCAUGUGCACAUUCCCAAGCCUCAUUAAAACAAAAAACAAAAACAAACAAAAGCUCUAGAAUUCCCAGGUGGUGCAGUGGAUUAAGGAUCCGGCGUGGCUACUGCUGUGGCAUGGGCUACUGCUGUGGCACAGGUUCAGUCCCUGGCCCUGGGACUUUUGUACAGCCAAAAAACAAACAAACAAACAAACAAAAAACCCCUCCCUCUAUCAAAUUCUGACACCAGCCCUUUAAUCAACAGAUACUGAUACUUACCACUUGUUUAUUGGACACUUGUAUGUAUAGGUUGUAUUUUGGACACAAAAAUUCGGAAGAGCUUUCCUGAUCUUCAGUUCAGAUCUAAGUUGUGAGGCGUUUGUAAAAGACACCAUGCAACAACUACUUUUAAUAAUGAUUUCCCUUUUUGGACAUGAGCAAAACCCAGACGUUCUUUUUUAUGUGUCUCUAAAACUCCCUUUUAAACUUGAGAGCCUGGUUCAAAGAUGUACCCACUUGGAUCCACUGGGCAAUAAGCUCUGAUUUCCACAGAUUUUAAAUUGCUUUCAGGGUCACUUAAGAUGCUUUUGGAGUAAUUGGAUGGAGGCCGUAGCUGUGCAUCUGGAGUCUGUCUGGUAUUCUCACCCCAUCUCCACUUGAAGUCAGAGUCCCACACAGAGUGCUGCAGCUGUACUGGCAGUUAGGCGAGAUUCAUACUUCUCUUCAGCAGCAUCGCUGUAAAUGAUGGUAAAGGGAAACAUUUAUUUCUUAUAAAACUCUCCACAGAUGUACCUCUCCCUACGCCUUGUGGGUCUGUUUCUAACUCAUAUGCCAGAGCCAGAGCUCAUUAUUGCUUACUAUAAUAUUGUUUUCAACAUAAGAACUCAUUCUCCAUACACACUGCCAGAAUAUUUAUUCUGCUUAUUACACUUAAACAAAGUACAACUAAAAUGAUUUUGCGGAGGGAAAUGGAACAAACCCCUCAAUAAACUAACCCUCAUUUACUAAGAAGCUUAUAAGGAAUGUGAGAUCCAAGGGAGAUAGAACCGAAUCGAUUGUCAGUUUUGAGGAGGCAGAGGAAAAGUUUGCAACAAAACUUGAAUUAAAUUUACUGCUAACCCUUAACCCACAGUCUUAAUCUUUUCUAUUUUCUUUCCUAAAUCAGUGAAAGGCUUUUCCAAAGAUCCAGGAAAAAAAAAGUACAGACAUUAAUGACAUUAGGAUGCUGAGAAUGAAAGGCUUAUGAACAUGAGAGCUCAUCCCAUCUGUGGAGGCAGAACACGUUGGGUUUUGGCCCUGUGUCUUACACUGUUAGAAUGUAUGAAAAAUGAACAAAGUCCAGAAACUGCUGAAAAUGAUCUUUAGCAUUACUUAUGUGAAUCGGGAGAUCAUUAUGUAAGGGAAUAUGUGCUGCCAAUUCUGUAGAUUUUCCAUCUAGAAAAAUCAAAUUUAAAUAGGGACAAGAAAGACAGAGUUGUAGGGAUCUUCUGCUGCCCCAGUGAACAGAAAUUACUGUAAUUUCUCAUUACUUUCCUCCAGAUUAUCCCAGAGGAAAGAAACAAUGCUUUAUAAAAAGCAAAAUGAUGAGGGUGAAAAUAAAUGUAACACAAUAGCACCAUCAUCACCUCAUGUCUAUUCCAUGGGGAACUAAAACCAUGUUUACAAAGUAGUAUAUGCUGUUACUAUUUAGAAUAGUAUUCCUAAAUUUAGAACUAGGAGCCAUUAUAUUGGUGCUGUCCAAUUCAACAUCUUUUCUAUCUUUGCAUUCUCAAAUAAUCAUAAUUUUUUUACCCAGAAACAACUUUAUUUUUCUGAUUAGUUCUGACAUCUUUUCCCUCAUUUCCCAUUAGUGCUAUCAUACUUGCUUUUGUGUGUCCCAUUUGUCUGUUUUGUUUCCAAUCUCACACAAUAAGUCACUUUACUUUCAUUUUAUUCCUACUGUAUCUCCAAUCAAAUAUCCACUAAUUUGUUUUGAGGAUAUCCAUGCCCCUAUUCUCUGAAAUAUUGCUCUUAGCAAAGGAAAAAAAGUAAGAAGGACUAGAAGCUCAACAGAGUGAAAUAGCCUGAGCAUAAAAUCCACAAAAGCUCUAGGUAUAGUUUUGUGUCUCAUUUGCAUAAAAGUAUCUGAAAGAACUGGCAUUUGUUAGCAUGAUCCUUAUCACACUAUUCCCAUAUGACCUUUGAAUGCCAAACUUCCUGUGAAUUGAAUAAACAUGAAUAACAACACAAUAACACCCUUGUAGAAUUUAAAUUCCUGUUCACUUUCAAUGCAAAACUCUUGUCACUCUUGGCUUCAUCCCAAGUCUUGAUCUAGCAAGCCAAGAAUGCAAGGAGAUCAUCAGCAACCCCUGCUUGUACUGCAGACCCUAAAAGGAUGAAAGAAGAAGGGCAAGGAAGGGUAAUGGACCCUUUUUAUGUUUGGCUCCUCCGAGAAUAAAGUACACAUGGAAUCAGUGGCUUAGUUUUAUGGUUUCAACUAAUGACAGAAAUAAACCCAGAGAACACUUGAGGUGAGAAGAGAAAGAAGCUAUAUUUUGCAGAGUUCCCAGAAAAUAUUUAGUGUAGUAUUUAAACAGAAAGCCCACUUUGGGAGUAUAGUCAGCGCUGCCUGUCCAUGGCAGGGAGGUAUUCUCAAGUCAGAGUUGAGAAAUAAUUACCUUAACAGACUGCCUCUCCCCAUUCCACAUGGCUUUGCCUACUACCUCUCAAGGUCAAGAGAGUCUAAUGUCUGCAGCUCUCUGUGGCUUUGCCUAAAAAAUUAGCUCCCAAGAUUCAGACAUUGCAGCUUACUUCUGAAGCCUGCAGUCAGGCGAUGAUGUGAAGUGUAGCUGCUUCUUUUUCCCUUGACCAUCUGAAAAUGGCUUUUUAUUUUCUCUGGUUAUGUUUCUAACACACUGAAUAUCUCUGAGCACCACUUCUGAUAUGUGUGUGUGUGUGUGUGUGUGUGUGUGUUUAAACUACUUAGUUUUAUUUACUCUGCUUUGACAUUGUCACAGGUUAAAAAGAAACGGGAAAGACGGAGACAAAAUAUUAAAAAAUAGAAUUAUCUAAUUCCAAGAAAAUUCCUCUUGAUGUGGCAGGCUCUCCUAUAUAACCACAUUUAAAUUAUCCAGAGGUAGGAACUAAAUGCAAUCUAAUACAGGCUACAUUAAGGGUGAAUGGCCUAUCUUGGGCCACUAAAGAUUUUUCCAUCUUUCUGUCAGGAAGAGGAGUGAGGUUGAAAUUGGAGCCAAGAACUGGGAUAGCUUUUAGGAUAUUCAGUAUCCAGGUCUGCAGUUUUUAAACUUCUAUCAUCAGCAACUCAGCAGCUGUAAAGGGAGCUAUUGAACUUGGACUUGCUCAGAAUGCUGGUGAGGACUUCUGGAGGGGAGUGGGACAAGGUCAAUGAGUAGUGGAAGGCACUGUGAGGUACAACCUGGCAGCAAGAAAUGGAUUGGGGGCCUCUUGAUUUUCAAUUUGAUCUUGAAAAUUCUUUGAGCCUCACCUUCCUUCUUAUCCAAUAUCAUGCUCAUCCUCUUGUGAACCUUAAAAGAGAAAGCAUACAUAAAUGUAGCUGGAUUAGAAUUCCAGCUAGAAUCAGAGUUUAAAAAGCAGAGCAAGUUAAGUGGCUGAUAUUCUUAUCAAUCACUCAGAAACUGGAGAUCUUAGUCAUUUAUUUACCAUUUUUGAUUACAUUUUCUGUGUCAAUCCUAGCUCUAUACAUCUUACAUUCAUGAUCUUAUAUGUUCAUACAUCAACUUAGAAGGCAAUUAUCUCAUGUCUUCAUUUUAUAUAAGAUGAAAAUAACUCAGAGACAGAUGGGAGGCUGGUGGAAGUCUUAUAUAGCUAGUUUACUGGAUAGAAAUGAUUCACCCUCAGGUUUUUGGAACUCAUGUCUGUAUUCUCACCACCCUCAUUCUCCAGUAAUCUAGAGCCCAUCACUGAAAAAUGAAUGGAUGGGGAAAACAAGAAAGGCAGAUGUGAAACAUCUGAAACAAUGAAGGAAUCCCAGUAUCUGAUAUGUUAUUUUUGUAUUGUGAAUCAACCCCAGAUGAGGAGUUCAGUGUGACCAAAUAUCUGAGAAAAGUCUACGUGUAGAGAAAAUGAAAAGCUGCUAAUACUCAGGGUAUCACAUUUUUUGUGUCAAUUAUGAGCCUGGGUUUUGGUGAUGGGAGCUCAAUAUCUUCUACUUACUAGUUAUCUGAUCCUAAAUAACUUGAUUCAGCAAGAGCAAUAAAAUAUAUAAAAUGAAAAUAAUGACAUUACCUACUUUAUAGGAGGCUUAUUAAAUUUGAUAAUAAAAAUAUGUAUAAAAGACUUAUUCCUUUUUUUUUUUUUUUUUUUUUUUUUUUUGUCUUUUUGCCAUUUCUUGGGCUGCUGCCGCGGCAUGUGGAUUUUCUCAGGCUAGGGGUCUAAUCGGAGCUGUGGCUGCCAGCCUACGCCAGAGCCACAGCAACAUGGGAUCCGAGCCACGUCUGCGACCUACACCACAGCUCACAGCAACCCCAGAUCGUUAACCCACUGAGCAAGGGCAGGGAUCGAACCCGCAACCCCAUGGUUCCUAGUCAGAUUUGUUAACCACUGCGCCACAACGGGAACUCCUAAAAUAGCUUUGUUGAGGUGUUAUGAUAUAUCCAGAAAAAUAUGUAAUGUGAGAUCUACCCUCUUAACAAUUUUUAAGUGUACAAUACUGAAGUGUUAACUCUAAGUAUAAAGUUAUAAAACAGAUCUCUAUUACUCAUGCCUUUUGCACAACUGAAAUUUUAUACCCAUUGACCAAGAAGUCCUCAUUUUCCUAUCCCCUAGUCCCUUGCAACUACCAUUCUACGCUCUGUUUCUAUGGGUUUGUCUACUUAAAAUACCUGAUUAAGUGGCCUCAUAUGUAUUUGUCCAUCUGUGACUGACUUAUUUUGUUUAGCAUAAUGUCCUCUAGGUGCUUCCAUGUUGUUGCAUAUACCAGGGGAAAGGACUUGAAUAGAUAUUUCUCCAAAGGAGACAUACACUUUACCAAUAAGUACAUUAAGAGAUGUUCAACAUCACUAAUCAUCAGGGAAAUGCAACUCCAAACCACAAUGAGAUACCACCUCACAUCUGUUAGGUUGGCUCUCCUCAAAAUGCAAGAGAUAAACAAGUGUUAGCAAGGAUGUGGAGAAAUUGGCACCCUUGUAUACCUUUAGUUGGAGUGUAAAAUGGUAUAGCCAGUAGUACAGCAUAUAGGUUCCUUGACAAUUUAUAAGUAGAACUAUCAUAUGAUCCUUGAGUUCCCAUCGUGGCUUAGUGGAUUAAGAAUCUGACUAGUAUCCAUGAGGAUGUUGGUUAAAUCCUUGGUCUCGCUCAGUGGGUUAAGGAUCCAGCGUUGCUGCAAGCUACAGCAGAGGUCGCAGUGUGUCAGGGAUCCAGUGUUGCUGUGGCUGUGGCAUACACCUGCAGCUGC
Molecule: long non-coding RNA, 5641 nt
Filed under: Sus scrofa (pig)
Lineage: Eukaryota; Metazoa; Chordata; Mammalia; Artiodactyla; Suidae
Description: lncRNA (ENSSSCG00050018249.1)
Source: RNAcentral